AUCAGGGUUUAAUAAAAUAUUGUUUUCUUUUACAUUGAAAAAUUUUUUUGUGUGAUUCAAAAAGCUCUGAUU
RNAcentral lists this transfer RNA (72 nucleotides) under Teredorus bashanensis. RNAcentral describes it as "tRNA-Val". The record is from RNAcentral. Lineage: Eukaryota; Metazoa; Arthropoda; Insecta; Orthoptera; Tetrigidae.